This 512-nucleotide ribosomal RNA is filed under the name uncultured bacterium. Its description in RNAcentral is "partial 16S ribosomal RNA". It matches the Rfam family "Bacterial small subunit ribosomal RNA", at positions 28 to 507 of the family's 1533-position model. The record is from RNAcentral.
GACGAACGCUGGCGGCGUGCCUAAUACAUGCGAGUCGAGCGAGCGGAACUAACAGAUUUACUUCGGUAAUGACGUUAGGAAAGCGAGCGGCGGAUGGGUGAGUAACACGUGGGGAACCUGCCCCAUAGUCUGGGAUACCACUUGGAAACAGGUGCUAAUACCGGAUAAGAAAGCAGAUCGCAUGAUCAGCUUUUAAAAGGCGGCGUAAGCUGUCGCUAUGGGAUGGCCCCGCGGUGCAUUAGCUAGUUGGUAAGGUAAAGGCUUGCCAAGGCGAUGAUGCAUAGCCGAGUUGAGAGACUGAUCGGCCACAUUGGGACUGAGACACGGCCCAAACUCCUACGGGAGGCAGCAGUAGGGAAUCUUCCACAAUGGACGCAAGUCUGAUGGAGCAACGCCGCGUGAGUGAAGAAGGUUUUCGGAUCGUAAAGCUCUGUUGUUGGUGAAGAAGGAUAGAGGUAGUAACUGGCCUUUAUUUGACGGUAAUCAACCAGAAAGUCACGGCUAACUACGUG